RNAcentral lists this ribosomal RNA (459 nucleotides) under Triticum aestivum (bread wheat). RNAcentral describes it as "partial small subunit ribosomal RNA". The record is from RNAcentral. Lineage: Eukaryota; Viridiplantae; Streptophyta; Magnoliopsida; Poales; Poaceae.
AUGGGAAUUUUACCUCCUAGAGGAUAUGUGAAGCUAAAUAUGGACGCCUCCUUUGAUCUAGAUCUUCUCAAAGGAACUGCUCGUGCAAUUAUAAGAGAUGAUAGAGGUGAGUUCAUUGACGCAUGUAAUUGGAAAAUAUAUUUUUGUCAUGAUGUCGUCUCGGCUGAAGCAACAGCCCUGCGAUAUGGUCUAUCUCUAGAACAGACUAUUGGAUGCAACAAUAUUAUUGUUAACUCGGACAAUAUUGAGGUGGUAAACACGAUGAAUGAAGGAGGGCGAUCGGCAGUACCAGCUGGAGCCAUCUUUGAUGAUUGUUAUCACAUGGCGUGCGAAUUUUCCUAUACCUCUUUCAUGCGGUGCCCUAGAGAGGCAAACAUGAUUGCCCAUGAACUAGCAAAUUCGGCUAAGGGGCCUUCCCCUUCAUGUAAUAGUUUUUUUAUGAGCCUUCCCCUGAACUAA